AACGAACGCUGGCGGCAUGCCUAACACAUGCAAGUCGAACGAGACCUUCGGGUCUAGUGGCGCACGGGUGCGUAACGCGUGGGAACCUGCCCUUAGGUUCGGAAUAACUCCCCGAAAGGGGUGCUAAUACCGGAUAAUGUCUUCGGACCAAAGAUUUAUCGCCUUUGGAUGGGCCCGCGUUGGAUUAGCUAGUUGGUAGGGUAAAAGCCUACCAAGGCGACGAUCCAUAGCUGGUCUGAGAGGAUGAUCAGCCACACUGGGACUGAGACACGGCCCAGACUCCUACGGGAGGCAGCAGUGGGGAAUAUUGGACAAAGGGCGAAAGCCUGAUCCAGCAAUGCCGCGUGAGUGAUGAAGGCCUGAGGGUUGUAAAGCUCUUUUACCCGGGAUGAUAAUGACAGUACCGGGAGAAUAAGCUCCGGCUAACUCCGUG
This 433-nucleotide ribosomal RNA is filed under the name uncultured bacterium. RNAcentral describes it as "partial 16S ribosomal RNA". It matches the Rfam family "Bacterial small subunit ribosomal RNA", at positions 29 to 507 of the family's 1533-position model. The record is from RNAcentral.